This 1273-nucleotide long non-coding RNA is filed under the name Coturnix japonica (Japanese quail). RNAcentral's name for it is "lncRNA (ENSCJPG00005020613.1)". The record is from RNAcentral. Lineage: Eukaryota; Metazoa; Chordata; Aves; Galliformes; Phasianidae.
GUCAAAAAUCAGUGCUUAACCAUUGUUCUUACCUAUAGCACUUCCAGCCAUAGCAUGUUAUUUUGGCUUUGAGCAUCAAAUAAAGCUCAGCUGAUAUUUCUCUUUAACUAAAAAAAAUGUUCAAAUUCCCAUUUACCUUUUCUUUCAUUAAACUGAGAUUUCAUCGUGGUCACCACAGCUGCCUGUAUUUCAUAUCCAGGUCUGUGAGAACAUACAUGCAAUACAGAGGACCUAAGAAUGUUUUUCAUGGAUACCAAAGAGGAGUCAGAUGCAUGGAUACCAAAGAGGAGUCAUGGAUACCAAAGUAAUAUUGUACUGCUGCCUGGAGUCCGUGGCCCGCUGCACUGGCAUUUUCACUGAAGACUUAUUACUUCUGCAGACAUCUUCAAGGGAGUGAAUUUAAGGAAGGUAAUAUGGAGACAUGGUUAGGUUUUAUACCCUCUGCUCAUCAGGAUAAUGUAUAGAGACUUGCUGAACUGAGAUAUGAAGAUGGCCUAAUCAUCAAAUAUGGAUUCAGGUCUCCCCUGCUGAGCAGGACAGACAGACGGACUACGCAAGGCCCAACCCCUGUCCUUCCCGCAAACAGAGGCUGGAGAAACCACACGUCCCCUUUCCAGGUAGGGAUUGCUGCUGGCUGCCUUGGCUUUGUUUCCCACUUUCACCGCAGCAGUGGCAGUGGGAGGCCUUAUCUCGGCCUCCCAGCACUUCCCCCGGCAUGCGUGUGGGAGCCGGCAUGCCACAAACUUCCAGCAGCGGCUGGGCCGACAGGAAGGCUCUCUCGCCUCGUGCCCGAACGCCUGAGCUGCGUCCCGCCGGCCGUAGAAUUGCAAUCUGGCAGCUGCAGGGAUUUCCCGUUGCUUCCCUCCAUCUCUUCCUGCGAGGCCUGCUGUGGGGCCGGCAGCGGCCGUCAGGCCUCAGGAAGCUGUGAGCGGCGGCAGGCGGGCAGGUGGGGGCGAGGAGGUGAUGGUGGCCAAAACCCAUUUGUUUGGUGGCCGUCGCACCGACACGCGCUGGUUGGGCCAGGGGAAAACAAAAGGGGGAUGUCUGCUUCAAAAAGGCAGGAAAUGAAGCAGCACGGGGGACGAGAGAUCUAUUGGGACUGGGUUGGGGCUUUUCUUUCUUAACCUAUUGUUUCAUGAUAUUAUAAUGCAAAAAAAAAAAAAAAAAAAAAAGUAAAGGGGGAAAUAGAGAGAAAAAAAAAAAAAAAAAGAAAUUGAACACAUCCUGUGACCUCUUAUCAAGCCAUCAGGAAUAAAAACAAACAGCUCAUUCA